Molecule: ribosomal RNA, 468 nt
Filed under: uncultured bacterium
Lineage: Bacteria
Description: partial 16S ribosomal RNA
Rfam family: Bacterial small subunit ribosomal RNA
Source: RNAcentral
GACGAACGCUGGCGGCGUGCUUAACACAUGCAAGUCGAACGGAAAGGCCCUGCUUUUGUGGGGUGCUCGAGUGGCGAACGGGUGAGUAACACGUGAGUAACCUGCCCUUGACUUUGGGAUAACUUCAGGAAACUGGGGCUAAUACCGGAUAGGAGCUCCUGCUGCAUGGUGGGGGUUGGAAAGUUUCGGCGGUUGGGGAUGGACUCGCGGCUUAUCAGCUUGUUGGUGGGGUAGUGGCUUACCAAGGCUUUGACGGGUAGCCGGCCUGAGAGGGUGAACGGCCACAUUGGGACUGAGAUACGGCCCAGACUCCUACGGGAGGCAGCAGUGGGGAAUAUUGCACAAUGGGCGGAACCCUGAUGCAGCAACGCCGCGUGCGGGAUGACGGCCUUCGGGUUGUAAACCGCUUUCGCCUGUGACGAAGCGUGAGUGACGGUAAUGGGUAAAGAAGCACCGGCUAACUACGUG